AAGCACUUUCAGUCAGGAGGAACAGGGUGUGAGCUUAAUACCUCACAUCUGUGACGUUACUGACAGAGAGAAGCACCGGCUAACUCCGUGCCACGCAGCCGCGUGUAAUACGGAGGGUGCGAGCGUUAAUCGGAAUUACUGGGCGUAAAGCGUACGCAGGCGGUUUGUUAAGCGAGAUGUGAAAGCCCCGGGCUCAACCUGGGAACUGCAUUUCGAACUGGCAAACUAGAGUGUGAUAGAGGGUGGUAGAAUUUCAGGUGUAGCGGUGAAAUGCGUAGAGAUCUGAAGGAAUACCGAUGGCGAAGGCAGCCACCUGGGUCAACACUGACGCUCAUGUACGAAAGCGUGGGGAGCAAACGGGAUUAGAUACCCCGGUAGUCCACGCCGUAAACGAUGUCUACUAGAAGCUCGGAACCUCGGACCUGUUUUUCAAAGCUAACGCAUUAAGUAGACCGCCUGGGGAGUACGGCGCAAGGUUAAAACUCAAUGAUUGACGGGGGCCCGCACAAGCGGUGGAGCAUGUGGUUUAAUCGAUGCACGCGAGAAACUUUACUACACUUGACAUACAGAGAACUUACCAAGAGAUUGUUGGUGCCUCGGGA
RNAcentral lists this ribosomal RNA (602 nucleotides) under Pseudoalteromonas sp. UST050418-030. RNAcentral describes it as "bacterial SSU rRNA". It matches the Rfam family "Bacterial small subunit ribosomal RNA", at positions 428 to 1023 of the family's 1533-position model. The record is from RNAcentral. Lineage: Bacteria; Pseudomonadati; Pseudomonadota; Gammaproteobacteria; Alteromonadales; Pseudoalteromonadaceae.